GAUGAAGAACGCAGCGAAAUGCGAUACGUAGUGUGAAUUGCAGAAUUCAGUGAAUCAUCGAAUCUUUGAACGGACAUUGCGCCCUUUGGUAUUCCAAAGGGCAUGCCUGUUCGAGCGUCAUUUGUACCCUCAAGCUUUGCUUGGUGUUGGGCGUCUUGUCUCCAGUCCGCUGGAGACUCGCCUUAAAGUCAUUGGCAGCCGGCCUACUGGUUUCGGAGCGCAGCACAAGUCGCACUCUUUUCCAGCCAAGGUCAGCGUCCAACAAGCCUUUUUUCAACUUUUGACCUCGGAUCAGGUAGGGAUACCCGCUGAGCUUAAGCAUAUCAAUAAGCGGAGGA
RNAcentral lists this unclassified non-coding RNA (338 nucleotides) under soil metagenome. RNAcentral describes it as "partial contains 5.8S ribosomal RNA, internal transcribed spacer 2, and large subunit ribosomal RNA". The stretch from base 1 to 120 matches the Rfam family "5.8S ribosomal RNA", at positions 35 to 154 of the family's 154-position model. The record is from RNAcentral.